RNAcentral lists this long non-coding RNA (1180 nucleotides) under Homo sapiens (human). Its description in RNAcentral is "HSALNT0185217". The record is from RNAcentral. Lineage: Eukaryota; Metazoa; Chordata; Mammalia; Primates; Hominidae.
GCGGGCCCCAGGAUCCGGAGCUUCGGGCGGGGCGGAGUCCGAGUUUGGGGCCCGGGAGGCGGGGCCAGUUAGGGUGAGGGUCCCUGGGAUCGACGGGUCAGGUCUUGGGCUAACGUAGGCACUCUCGCAGUUCCUCCGCCUUCAGGAAGGUCUUUUUAGCAGAGGCCUUACGGGUGCGCGCUUCGGUCCUGGAGGCCUUAUCCUAACCUCCUCUCCAUCAGCGCCACCCGUCUGGGGCCCGAAACGAGGGAGCUUUCCCUCUGUCCCCCAGCCUUUGGACUGUCACCAAACAAGCCAUUCGUUCAUCAAAAAUACUUAUUAAGCGCCUACCAUGUGCCUGACAAGGGAGAUGUAACGGUGAGAAAAAGUAGGUGUGGUCCAGGCCCUCCAGGGGCUCAGGGGCUCGUGGAAGAAGUGGACAUUGAAAUACUUAUCACACAAAUGAGGAUAAAAGUACGAUAGCGAUAUCUGCCACGAAGAUAGGGUCUCUCUCUCUGCCACCCAGGCCAGAGUGCAGUUGACGCAGGGCAGGGGAGCCCCGAAGUGGAGCAUAGCGUGUCCGGAACUGGUGGGUUCUUGGUCUCACUGACUUCAAGAAUGAAGCCGCGGACCCUCGCGAAAUGAGGCUUCUCCCUGGGACCAGCAUUCCACGAAGGCAGCCCUUUUCUAGAUGGAGAAAACAGAACCUGAAGACACCCGUUUCCCUAAACUGCUCUUGCUCAUGUGCUUCCGAGGCGAUCGAUCAGGCAGUGUCGGUCUGCAGCUGCUAAGCCAAGAAGAUCUGGGAAGGAGUCAGUCAGGGAGCCUUGGGCUGGAGUCCCAGGGGCUCUGGGAGUGGCUGCCAGUUCUACAAGGCCUGGAGCUGAUACGAAAAACCUCCCUUCUUUCCCAAAUGCUCCCCAGCUUCCCCGUUCACUGAAGGCCCUGCAGUCAGGAACAGUCAGGACUUUGCACCCAGUUGUUGUGGGUGUUUGGCCGACUCUUCCUCUUGUGUGAUUCAUGGACCCUCAGCAUUGCAUCACCUAGGAGCUUUUGGAAUUGAAGACUCUCAGGGCUCACCCGGAAGGACCUCCUGGGCCAGAAUCUGCAUUUUAACAAGAUGCUCAGGAUCUGUAACCCAGGCUGGAGUGCAGUGGUGCGAUCCCGGCUCACUGCAGCCUCUACCUCCUGGGUUCAAGCG